AACACGCGUGAUUGGAGAGGGGGGAGAGAUGUGGAAGAGGACAGGGAGAUCACAUACAGGAAAACUGCAGAAAGCCACAGGCAAAGUACGGUACAGCCUCAGAUAUUUUUAUUUUAAACUUACUUCUAGUUUAUUUCCCCACCACUCCUCUUGGCUUCUGCCUAACUGGGUCGCGUUGGGGAUGUUUGGCAUGGCGCUCUGGCUUUUGUUCCUUUUAAUACCGCGGCCCCCUUCCUCUGCCCGCGGAUUACUAGGUCCCGAAGUCUCCUGCUAACAACCUAGAUCAGCAAGCUCAGCCGACUGUACCACCGCCGGGCUAAAUUUGUUGUUGUUGCUGUUGUUAAGUAGCACUUUCUUUCUUGUGCAGAUGCAGAGCCCUUGUUGUCAAUAUUCAUUUUUUUCUAGUACAGGAUGGGAGCAGCUUAACUCCGAGCAUAGUCCCUCGGUGAGCUGCAGACAGUGGACCACCUCGGAGAGUCUAGGGGUCCUGGGCGCAAUCUGGAAGGAGGAAGUGGGACGAGAGUUAGUGAGAAGAACUCCAAGAUUACAAAUAUCCACUUCAUUUGAUGCUGAGUUACUCGUCACAUAAGAAAAGGUCUGUGUGGACAUUCGAAGAAGCUACGCCUACAAAGAUGGUUUAAAAAAUCUGAGCGUCCCUAUACUCAUCCUUGUCUCGAAUAAAUAAAUACGUAAUGUUGCUUGAAGAAAUUCAUCGGCCUUCUCCAGAUACUUCUCCAGAUACAGGUUUGCUGUAAUGAUCUGCAGAAGAGAACUGCCACCACUUUCUCACAUCCCAAGGUGUUGGCGGAACUGGAGCGAGGCGGAGAGAGGCUGCAGCGCGUAAUUGCAGAGGGGAGGGCGGGGUGCCUCCUGGGAUCCGGAGCGGGGGUAGGGGAGGUAAGAUGCAACCCAGGAAAGGUCUUUCUGGACGUUGGAGUCGCCAGUUGGAGAAUAUUUGGACAAGGUAUGAUGGCCUUAUUCCCCCCCCCCCCCAUCCCGUCUCUAUCCCAAUGCCUUUGGGGAGAAGAGAUACCCUUGUGUAACAAUUAGCUCAGACAAUAAAAAUAAUUGGAAAAUCA
Long non-coding RNA from Onychomys torridus (southern grasshopper mouse), 1079 nucleotides. RefSeq lists it as uncharacterized. NCBI's taxonomy places the organism in Eukaryota, Metazoa, Chordata, Mammalia, Rodentia, Cricetidae. The transcript has 4 exons. The record is from RefSeq and is a predicted model, not a curated record.